Molecule: transfer RNA, 67 nt
Filed under: Marmota monax (woodchuck)
Lineage: Eukaryota; Metazoa; Chordata; Mammalia; Rodentia; Sciuridae
Description: tRNA.Ala
Source: RNAcentral
GGUUGUGGCUCAGUGGUAGAGUACUUGCCUAGCAUGUGUGAGGCACUGGGCUCAAUCCCUGGCACCA